AUUCCUAAUUCCAGAAAAAAAAGUGACAUAAGACACAAAAGAAGUGUAUGUCUGCUGUGUUUUGUAAUUUAAAAUGCAAUUUAAAAUGCCACACUUCUCCCCAAUUCCUGUUGUAUGUGUUCCUACAGCAGAGUUCUUCAAAUCUGGACCUCGAUUCCAAAUCCAGGCCUUGUUUUCAGUUCUCCCAGGUAGAUAGUUUAAUAAUUACUGAUUCUGAUUGGUCAGAGGCUUCACACCUGACUGACAGGUAAAGGAAGGCUGGAAAACCAGCAGUGCUCGGACCUCGAGGACCGUGAUUUGAAUAACCCUGCCCUACAGUAUCCCUGGUAUUUCCAUCUGUUUCCAGCUAUUCACUUUGAUUUUUUUUGUUAACAACCAAUGAUAAACAAUAACAAGUUGCUGCAGCACACUGGAGUUUUCCUGGGUCUGUGGGUGGACAGCUACAAGCUGCAAUUUCACGAUGCCUCACACUCCCACUGUAGGAUCCUGUCAUCAGAAGCAGCUGAAGCCACUGACCAGAGGAGUCAGGGACAGCAGCUUAUUGCCUGUGAGAUUUGUCAGCUGCACAUCCAUGCUGCAAAUCUCCCAUUGUGCCACAUCCCAAAGGUGUUCUACUGGAUUCAGAUCCAGUGACAGGGGAGGCCACUGAAGAACACUGAACUUAUUGUCAUGUUCCUGAAACUUGUUUGAGAUGACUUUUGCUUUGUGACGUGAUGUGCAAUGAGGCCCCCAUAUCCACGGCAGUUCCCCGCAGUUCGAAUCAUAAAGUUUAAUAAUUCUAGAAACGAUUCAUAAGUUUCAAACUGUGUGCCAAGCGAGUACAGGCUAUAAACCAGUGAGUACCCAGAAUAGGCUAAAAUAAUAUAAAAUAAUUUUUUCUCAUUACUGGUUAUGUACUGGUAUAUGAUACACAUUUUACAAUGAAAAAUAUUGUAACAGUAGCCUGUAUUUUUCCAUGUUUCCUUCGUUCUUUAAGGGGUAUAAAAAGCAUGAUUUACCUUGCUCUGCCAUCCCUUGCCAUUUUUCAUUGCUAUAUCGUUUCUUGAGAAUUAGGGUAAAACGUCUGAAUUCCUUUCAUUUGAGAGAGUACAGUACAAUUCAUUACUGUAUAAUACUGUUCAAUUUACUUUAUUUCUGUAUUUAGUGUUGGUAAUGUCUUACUGUGUGUAAUUUAUCAAUUAAACUUUACCAUUUCGAUGUACACAAAAA
Non-coding RNA from Paramormyrops kingsleyae, 1209 nucleotides. The record is from RefSeq and is a predicted model, not a curated record. Lineage: Eukaryota; Metazoa; Chordata; Actinopteri; Osteoglossiformes; Mormyridae.